GGAGCUAAUACAUGCAAGUCGAGCGGACAGAUGGGAGCUUGCUCCCUGAUGUUAGCGGCGGACGGGUGAGUAACACGUGGGUAACCUGCCUGUAAGACUGGGAUAACUCCGGGAAACCGGGGCUAAUACCGGAUGCUUGAUUGAACCGCAUGGUUCAAUUAUAAAAGGUGGCUUUUAGCUACCACUUACAGAUGGACCCGCGGCGCAUUAGCUAGUUGGUGAGGUAACGGCUCACCAAGGCAACGAUGCGUAGCCGACCUGAGAGGGUGAUCGGCCACACUGGGACUGAGACACGGCCCAGACUCCUACGGGAGGCAGCAGUAGGGAAUCUUCCGCAAUGGACGAAAGUCUGACGGAGCAACGCCGCGUGAGUGAUGAAGGUUUUCGGAUCGUAAAACUCUGUUGUUAGGGAAGAACAAGUACCGUUCGAAUAGGGCGGUACCUUGACGGUACCUAACCAGAAAGCCACGGCUAACUACGUGCCAGCAGCCGCGGUAAUACGUAGGUGGCAAGCGUUGUCCGGAAUUAUUGGGCGUAAAGCGCGCGCAGGCGGUUUCUUAAGUCUGAUGUGAAAGCCCCCGGCUCAACCGGGGAGGGUCAUUGGAAACUGGGGAACUUGAGUGCAGAAGAGGAGAGUGGAAUUCCACGUGUAGCGGUGAAAUGCGUAGAGAUGUGGAGGAACACCAGUGGCGAAGGCGACUCUCUGGUCUGUAACUGACGCUGAGGCGCGAAAGCGUGGGGAGCGAACAGGAUUAGAUACCCUGGUAGUCCACGCCGUAAACGAUGAGUGCUAAGUGUUAGAGGGUUUCCGCCCUUUAGUGCUGCAGCAAACGCAUUAAGCACUCCGCCUGGGGAGUACGGUCGCAAGACUGAAACUCAAAGGAAUUGACGGGGGCCCGCACAAGCGGUGGAGCAUGUGGUUUAAUUCGAAGCAACGCGAAGAACCUUACCAGGUCUUGACAUCCUCUGACAACCCUAGAGAUAGGGCUUCCCCUUCGGGGGCAAAAUGACAGGUGGUGCAUGGUUGCCGUCAGCUCGUGUCGUGAGAUGUUGGGUUAAGUCCCGCAACGAACGCAACCCUUGAUCUUAGUUGCCAGCAUUCAGUUGGGGACUCUAAGGGGACUGCCGGGGACAACCGG
Molecule: ribosomal RNA, 1139 nt
Filed under: Bacillus haynesii
Lineage: Bacteria; Bacillati; Bacillota; Bacilli; Caryophanales; Bacillaceae
Description: bacterial SSU rRNA
Rfam family: Bacterial small subunit ribosomal RNA
Source: RNAcentral